ACAAAAAUAAAGUGUUAUUUGACUGGAGUGAGGUCUCAUGUCUGCUUAUGCGGUGGCUCGCUGCUCAGAACAGGGAGGAAGAGGGUAAUCUGGAAGAGUUUCCUGACCUACUCUGCUGCUGUGAUUAAACAACCACCAGGAAAUUUUGAUGACACUGUUCUCCUGAGCUCCUCCCUUUCCUCGGGGAAGAAAAGCAUUGAAACUACAAAAAUAAAGUGUUAUUUGGCUGGAGUGAGGUCUCAUGUCUGCUUAUGCGGUGGCUCGCUGCUCAGAACAGGGAACCAUUGGAGAUACUCAUUACUCUUUGAAGGCUUACAGUGGAAUGAAUUCAAAUACGACUUAUUUGAGGAAUUGAAGUUGACUUUAUGGAGCUGAUAAGAAUCUUCUUGGAGAAAAAAAGACUGGUAUUCUGAAGAUGAUUCUACAAAGCCUGCUGUUUCUACAAAGGCUGCUGAUGAUUUCUACAAAGCCUGCUGUAGUGUUGCUGUGGCCUCUGCUUAAAAAAGUAGAAAACACAUUGAUGCAGCAUGUUCACCCCAACCUCCCUGCCUAAAGGCUCAGGGACCAUCUUGGAAGAGGAAGGCGCGUGAGAUUGUAAGAGCCGAAUUAGGGGGAUGGAGUGUGGAGAAUAAGGACACUUCAUCUUGGAUGCUCACCUGCCAAAUUGACUUCUGAUGAAAGCCAGCUCCAGAAAUGUGCCUACAGUUACUACUUUCACCUAAACCCUGCCCUUAGUCAAAUCCUUCUCUUCUUCUAAGCAAUCAACUUCAAUUCCUUGUAUAACCCACAGUAUAAAAGGGCUUUUAUACCAUUCUAUCCUAUUGCAUGUAAGCCUUGGGUCUGGGAGGUAACAGUGUGGGAUUCCACCAUCUCAUCUCCCUGCCACCCAAACAUGCCUGCUCUUCUUUAAGCAAUAUUAAAUGUUUGUACUUCAGAAA
This 938-nucleotide long non-coding RNA is filed under the name Homo sapiens (human). Its description in RNAcentral is "HSALNT0397974". Lineage: Eukaryota; Metazoa; Chordata; Mammalia; Primates; Hominidae. The record is from RNAcentral.